GGGGCUGCACCUGGCCUUAUGGGCUGAGAAGAAAGCCAAGGUCAUUGCAGUAAUGAAUGCUGUGGAAGCAAACCAGGGUUCCUGGGAGUCUCAGAAGGUGGAGGAGGCCAGCCCUCCUGCUGUGCAGCAGCCCACUGACCCUGCAUCCCCCACUGUGGCCACCAUGCCAGAGCCCGUGGGGGCCGAUGCUGGGGACAAGAAUGCUACCAAAGCAGGCGAUGAUAAGCUGGAGUAGGAGGACGGCCGGGGCUUUGGCAUUGGGGAGCUGGUGUGGGGGAAACUGCAGGGCUUCUCGUGGUGGCCAGGCCACAUUGUGUCUUGGUGGAUGACAGGCCGGAGCCGAGCAGCUGAAGGCACCCGCUGGGUCAUGUGGUUCGGAGAUGGCUAGUUCUCAGUGGUGUGUGUUGAGAAGCUGAUGCCGCUGAGCUCGUUUUGCAGUGCGUUCCACCAGGCCAUGUAACACGAGCAGCCCAUGUACCGCAAAGCCAUCUAUGAGGUCCUGCUGGUGGCCAGCAGCCGUGCGGGGAAGCUGUUCCCAGUGUGCCACGACAGUGACGAGAGUGACACUGCCAAGGCCGUGGACGUGCAGAACAAGCAGAUGAUUGAAUGGGCCCUGGGGGUCUUCCAGCCCUCUGGUCCCAAGGGCCUGGAGCCACCAGAAGGGGAAAAGAAUUCCUACAAAGAAGUGUACACGGACAUGUGGGUGGAACCUGAGGCAGCUGCCUAGGCACCACCUCCACCAGCCAAAAAGCCCUGGAAGAGCACAACGGAGAAGCCCAAGGUCAAGGAGAUCAUCGAUGAUGAGUGCACAAGAGAGCGGCUGAUGUACGAGGUGCGGCAGAAGUGCCAGAACAUGGAGGACAUCUGCAUCUCCUGUGGGAGCUUCAACGUCACCCUGGAACACCCCCUCUUCAUUGGAGGAAUGUGCCAAAACUGCAAGAACUGCUUUCUGGAGUGUGCAUACCAGUACGAUGACGACGGCUAUCAGUCCUACUGCACCAUCUGCUGCGGGGGCCGAGAAGUGCUUAUGAGCGGGAACAACAACUGCUGCAGGUGCUUUUGUGUGGAAUGUGUGGACCUCUUGGUGGGGCCGGGGGCUGCCCAGGCAGCCAUUAAGGAAGACCCCGGGAACUGCUACAUGUGUGGGCACAAGGGCACCUACGGGCUGCUGCGGCGGCAAGACGACUGGCCCUCCUGGCUCCAGAUGUUCUUCGCUAAUAACCACGACCAGGAAUUUGACCCUCUAAAGGUUUACCCACCUGUCCCAGCUGAGAAGAGGAAGCCCAUUCGGGUGCUGUCUCUCUUUGACAGAAUUGCUACAGGGCUCCUGGUGCUGAAGGACUUGGGCAUUCAGGUGGACCGCUACAUUGCCUCGGAGGUGUGUGAGGGCUCCAUCACGGUGGGCAUGGUGCCGCACCAGGGGAAGAUCAUGUACGUUGGGGACGUCCGCAGCGUCACACAGAAGCAUAUCCAGGAGUGGGGCCCAUUUGAUCUUGUAAUUGGGGGCAGUCCCUGCAAUGACCUCUCCAUUGUCAACCCUGCUCGCAAGGGCCUCUGCGAGGGCACUGGCGGGCUCUUCUUUGAGUUCUACCGCCUCCUGCAUGAUGCGCGGCCCAAGGAGGGAGAUGACCGCCCCUUCUUCUGGCUCUUUGAGAAUGUGGUGGCCAUGGGCGUUGGUGACAAGAGGGACAUCUCGCGAUUUCUCGAGUCCAACCCUGUGAUGAUUGAUGCCAAAGAAGUGUCAGCUGCACACAGGGCCCGCUACUUCUGGGGUAACCUUCCCGGUAUGAACAGGCCAUUGGCAUCCACUGUGAAUGGUAAGCUGGAGCUGCAGGAGUGUCUGGAGCAUGGAAGGAUAGCCAAGUUCAGCAAAGUGAGGACCAUUACUACAAGGUCAAACUCCAUAAAGCAAGGCGUAGACCAGCAUUUCCCCAUCUUCAUGAAUGAGAAAGAGGACAUCCUAUGGCGCACUGAAAUGGAAAGGGUAUUUGGUUUCCCUGUCCACUAUGCCGACGUCUCCAACAUGAGCCGCUUGGCGAGGCAGAGACUGCUGGGACGGUCGUGGAGCGUGCCAGUCAUCCGCCACCUCUUCGCUCCGCCGAAGGAGUAUUUUGCGUGUGUGCGAGGGACAUGGGGGCAAACUGAGGUAGCAACACAAAGUUAAACAAACAAAACAACACAAAACAUAAUAAAACACCAAGAACGUGAGGAUGGAGAGAAGUAUCAGCACCCAGAAGAGAAAAAGGAAUUUAAAACAAAAACCACAGAGGCUGAAAUACCGGAGGGCUUUGCCUUGCGAAAAGGGUUGGACAUCAUCUCCUGAUUUUUCAAUGUUAUUCUUCAGUCCUAUUUAAAAACAAAACCAAGCUCCCUCCCCUUCCUCCCCCUCCCG
Callithrix jacchus (white-tufted-ear marmoset) is the source of this 2392-nucleotide non-coding RNA. The record is from RefSeq and is a predicted model, not a curated record. NCBI's taxonomy places the organism in Eukaryota, Metazoa, Chordata, Mammalia, Primates, Cebidae.